This 404-nucleotide ribosomal RNA is filed under the name uncultured bacterium. RNAcentral's name for it is "bacterial SSU rRNA". It matches the Rfam family "Bacterial small subunit ribosomal RNA", at positions 11 to 429 of the family's 1533-position model. The record is from RNAcentral.
GUUUGAUCCUGGCUCAGAAUCAACGCUGGCGGCGUGCCUAACACAUGCAAGUCGCACGAGAAAGGGGAGCAAUCCCUGAGUAAAGUGGCGCACGGGUGAGUAACACGUGAAUGAUCUACCUCCGAGUGGGGAAUAACUGAGAGAAAUCUUAGCUAAUACCGCAUAACACUUACGAGUCAAAGCAGCAAUGCGCUUGGAGAGGAGUUCGCGGCCGAUUAGUUAGUUGGCGGGGUAAUGGCCCACCAAGACGAUGAUCGGUAUCCGGCCUGAGAGGGCGCACGGACACACUGGAACUGAAACACGGUCCAGACUCCUACGGGAGGCAGCAGUGGGGAAUUUUGCGCAAUGGGGGAAACCCUGACGCAGCAACGCCGCGUGGAGGAUGAAGUAUCUUGGUACGUAAA